Molecule: long non-coding RNA, 1806 nt
Filed under: Felis catus (domestic cat)
Lineage: Eukaryota; Metazoa; Chordata; Mammalia; Carnivora; Felidae
Description: lncRNA (ENSFCAG00000050626.1)
Source: RNAcentral
CACAGCUCCCCCUCGUGGCGGAAGGGUGUUCACGCAUGCGCACUUCCACGCUUGGCAAGGUAGAGCGUUUGUGCAUGUGUACAACCUCCCCUCAACCUCAGCCGGGGAGGUUGUUUGUGCAUGCACCCCACACCCUUCGGUGCAGAAGGGAGUUCACACAUGCCCGGAACAACCUCUGGGUGAAAGAGGAUGUUUGGAAACGCGGCCCACACCAUUUGGCCCAGGCAGUUUUAGGCUUCUGACUUGCCCCCCAUUGGUGCGUGAGUGGCUCUCCCAUGCAGAGCGCCACCGCUCGGGGAGGGAAAAGUGAUGUCACUAUGAAAUGUGAUUUUUCAUGAAACGUUCUUUUUACUUUCACAGCUGAAGAAACACGAAUCUUUUUUUUUUAUUUUUUAUAUAUGAAAUUUAUUGUCAAAUUGGUUUCCAUACAACACCCAGUGCUCAUCCCAAAAGGUGCCCUCUUCAAUACCCAACACGAAUCUUUGAAGAUGAAGAAACACCUGUCUCUUAAGUGGUGCACAAAUGGUAAUUUGUACCUGGAGUGGCCUCAGGAAGCUGCCUCAAGAUGGGACUCUGGGACUGGACUGCUCUUCUCUCUGGUGGACAUACAGAUAACUUCCUUGUGGGCAGAAGUGGAUACUGGUCGUUGGAAGCAAGAGGUGAUUUCACACUUGCUCACGUUACCACCAGUGCUGGUACAGAGUGAUGGAGGACAGCAUGCUGGAGGAUUGCGGGUGGAGUCGUCACUGUGGCCAUGGGGAGGGGGCAGUUACAGAGAUUGUUUGGGGUCAGUUUUGGGUAUGUGAGGUAUACACAGGAAAUAGGAGAGAUUGAAAGGAAGGGCAAAACAUCAGAAAAUCUAUGGCCUCAUAAGGGGAGUAUGAGGGGGCCUCAUAAGGGGAGUAUUGUGUUUUGUUGCCAAGAGAAGCAGCUCCCCCGGACCCCCGUUGGAGGGAAACAGUCUUACCCCACCCCCAGAACCCCUCGAGAAAAGGUUUCAAUGGCUUCACCUAAGACAAUACCGUCGUGACAGAGAGCAGUGAUCUUCAGGCUCCACGUCUACCAUCCGUGUUUACUUCCUGGAAGAUAACGGGAUGCCAGCGAACUCCAAAUGGGGGUACAGGAUCAGGUCCACACAGGAUCAGGUGCUCAUGCAGGGAGUGGCAGGGCAUUACCACUUCGCACUGGUAGGAGACUGGGGAUGGGAGUGGAUUCAAAGAGUAUUAAACCAAGGAGGGUGACAUAGGAUAGGCCAGACAUGGUACAGGGUUCCUCCUGCAGGAAAUGUGAUUUAAUGUGUUGCCUUGGCAACUGGGAACGGUCGUAAUAAUGACUCAAUGGCUGCCUUCAGUCAACUAGGUUGAAAUGCCAGAGCUUCCCUGACUUUCUCAGGGAAGGAAGACUCCAAGGUCCGAGGGAGAUGGGAAUGGGGGCCUGUUGUGUGCACACCUGCUCUUUUCCCAUAAACUUGAUGGCUUAUGAGAACAAAAUCAUGUUCUCUCACGGUUCUGGAGGCCAGGAACCCAAAAUUCACUUAACUGGGCUGAGACUAAGGUGUCAGCAGAGCUGUACUCCCUCUGGAGACCCCAGGGCUCCAGGGGACAGUGUAUCCCUUUCUCUGGUAGCUCCCGGUGGCCACCAACCUCCCUUGGCUUGUGUCCACAUCACCCUAGUCUGUCUCCAUGGACACAGUGCCUCCUCUUUUGUCAAGUCUCCCUUUGCUUCUCUAAGGGUGCUCAUGAUUCCAUGUAGGGCUCACUCGGAAAACCCAGGACUCAAGAUCCUUAACUAGAUCCCAUUGAUGGG